This 575-nucleotide ribosomal RNA is filed under the name Cymatoceps nasutus. RNAcentral's name for it is "partial 16S ribosomal RNA". It matches the Rfam family "Bacterial large subunit ribosomal RNA", at positions 1819 to 2597 of the family's 2925-position model. The record is from RNAcentral. Lineage: Eukaryota; Metazoa; Chordata; Actinopteri; Spariformes; Sparidae.
CCUCUUGCAAAAUUAACGAAUAAGAGGUCCCGCCUGCCCUGUGACUAUAUGUUUAACGGCCGCGGUAUUUUGACCGUGCGAAGGUAGCGCAAUCACUUGUCUUUUAAAUGGAGACCUGUAUGAAUGGCAUCACGAGGGCUUAACUGUCUCCCCUCCCCAGUCAAUGAAAUUGAUCUCCCCGUGCAGAAGCGGGGAUAAAAACAUAAGACGAGAAGACCCUAUGGAGCUUUAGACGUCAGAGCAGCUCAUGUUAAGCACCCCCUGAACAAAGGAAAAAACAAAAUGGAUCCUGCCCUAGUGUCUUUGGUUGGGGCGGCCGCGGGGAAAUACAAAACCCCCAUGUGAAGUGGGAAUACACAUUCCUAAACCCAAGAGCUCCCGCUCUAAUGAACAGAAAUUCUGACCAACAAGAUCCGGCAUAUGCCGAUCAACGGACCGAGUUACCCUAGGGAUAACAGCGCAAUCCCCUUAAAGAGCCCUUAUCGACAAGGGGGUUUACGACCUCGAUGUUGGAUCAGGACAUCCUAAUGGUGCAGCCGCUAUUAAGGGUUCGUUUGUUCAACGAUUAAAGUCCU